This 72-nucleotide transfer RNA is filed under the name Camelus bactrianus (Bactrian camel). It matches the Rfam family "tRNA". Rfam says of the family: Transfer RNA (tRNA) molecules are approximately 80 nucleotides in length. Their secondary structure includes four short double-helical elements and three loops (D, anti-codon, and T loops). Further hydrogen bonds mediate the characteristic L-shaped molecular structure. tRNAs have two regions of fundamental functional importance: the anti-codon, which is responsible for specific mRNA codon recognition, and the 3' end, to which the tRNAs corresponding amino acid is attached (by aminoacyl-tRNA synthetases). tRNAs cope with the degeneracy of the genetic code in two manners: having more than one tRNA (with a specific anti-codon) for a particular amino acid; and 'wobble' base-pairing, i.e. permitting non-standard base-pairing at the 3rd anti-codon position. RNAcentral also lists the same sequence under 1 other name. Lineage: Eukaryota; Metazoa; Chordata; Mammalia; Artiodactyla; Camelidae. The record is from Rfam by way of RNAcentral.
GAGGGUAUAGCUCAGUGGUAGAGUGUGUGCCUAGCACGCACAAGGUCCUGAGUUCAAUUCCCAGUACCUCCA